This is a non-coding RNA of Macaca mulatta (Rhesus monkey), 1015 nucleotides long. NCBI's taxonomy places the organism in Eukaryota, Metazoa, Chordata, Mammalia, Primates, Cercopithecidae. The record is from RefSeq and is a predicted model, not a curated record.
UGAGAGACGCGCAGGGACCUGGAUUGGCCAGUCCAGACUAGCCCUGCCAAAAAAGGGGCCUCUGAGUUGGGGUAAUGUGCCCAGGAGCAGAGAUUCGGCGACCGUGGCGCUGCAAUCGCAGCUUUCCCGUGGUUUCCUAAGUGGUCGCGGUGAUUUGUUUGCGGGGAGCGAGGCGUGAGGGAAGACCUUGGUUAAAGGACUCCGCAGGCAAACAACGAUCUUUUCUAGGCAGCUACUGCCCUCUCGGAGGGGGAGUCUAUGAGAGGCCUGGCUGGAAGCCCCAGCACCCGCCCGGCGCUGGGCCUCAGAGAAGUGAGGCGUCGUCGUGGCAACGCGGGCUCAGUUAAGAAAGAGAUGAGAAAGAUGGAAGAAUGAUGUGGAUAUGGAGAAGAGAAUGAUGCAGAAGAUGAACAGAUACAGGGACAGGGAAAGCGCCUGGAAAUCUCAAAUCUGGGGGAAGAAAGAGAAACAGGACUUUGUAAUGGCAUCCUAAUCUUGUUACCAAACAAACGGGGUUUGUUGCCCUAUAUGCACAGAAGCCAAUAUUAUGAUGCUGGUUUUUUGAGAAAAGUUGUUAUUGCGAGUCAACUAACAAGGAGACAGGAGUAUAGCUCUAAUCUGUCUCCCUGUGCUGGCUUUAAGACAGUAUUUUUAUUAGAAAAGGUUUAGGGAAUGGAUUCUGGGAUUAGUAAAUGAUUGGUGGAAGGAAAGAAGCCAUCUGGAAAAUCUUUUGGCGUUCGCGGUUACCUCUUCAUGUCCCUUCAUGGGUCGCAUGUGCAAAUUUUGGAGGGAGUCAGUAUGAAACAUGGGGGAAGACUCGAGCUGUAACGCCAGCAAGCUCAUUUUGUACAGACUUCAGGUAGCCAUCCGUGUUAGUCCUAACCAAUUUCAGCCAGUUUGCUUUAUUUUGUUUUUUAAUCUCACAAUAGAAGAAGUUUAGGCGUUUUAGCAAAUUGUUUUUUAUCUGCUGUCCUGCACGCUCAAGAAUUUCUGUUAGUCCCUGGUUUAACUCUGA